RNAcentral lists this ribosomal RNA (470 nucleotides) under uncultured Acidobacteriota bacterium. Its description in RNAcentral is "bacterial SSU rRNA". It matches the Rfam family "Bacterial small subunit ribosomal RNA", at positions 9 to 489 of the family's 1533-position model. Lineage: Bacteria; Pseudomonadati; Acidobacteriota. The record is from RNAcentral.
GAGUUUGAUCCUGGCUCAGAAUCAACGCUGGCGGCGUGCCUAACACAUGCAAGUCGAGCGAGAAAAGGGCUUCGGCCCUUAGUAAAGCGGCGCACGGGUGAGUAACACGUGGGUAAUCUGCCUCGAAGUGGGGAAUAACACCGGGAAACCGGUGCUAAUACCGCAUAAUCUGAUGGAGUCUGCGGAUUCUAUCGGCAAAGGAGCAAUUCGCUUUGAGAGGAGCCCGCGCCUGAUUAGCUAGUUGGUGAGGUAAUGGCUCACCAAGGCAACGAUCAGUAGCCGGUCUGAGAGGACGGUCGGCCACACUGGAACUGAGACACGGUCCAGACUCCUACGGGAGGCAGCAGUGGGGAAUUUUUGGCAAUGGGCGAAAGCCUGACCAAGCAACGCCGCGUGGGUGAUGAAGUAUCUUGGUACGUAAAACCCUUUCGACGGGGACGAAACCGCAAGGUGACGGUACCCGAGAAGAA